UAGGGAAUCUUCGACAAUGGGGGCAACCCUGACCGAGCAACGCCGCGUGAGUGAAGAAGGUUUUCGGAUCGUAAAGCUCUGUUGUAAGAGAAGAACGUGUGUGAGAGUGGAAAGUUCACACAGUGACGGUAACUUACCAGAAAGGGACGGCUAACUACGUGCCAGCAGCCGCGGUAAUACGUAGGUCCCGAGCGUUGUCCGGAUUUAUUGGGCGUAAAGCGAGCGCAGGCGGUUUAAUAAGUCUGAAGUUAAAGGCAGUGGCUUAACCAUUGUUCGCUUUGGAAACUGUUAAACUUGAGUGCAGAAGGGGAGAGUGGAAUUCCAUGUGUAGCGGUGAAAUGCGUAGAUAUAUGGAGGAACACCGGUGGCGAAAGCGGCUCUCUGGUCUGUAACUGACGCUGAGGCUCGAAAGCGUGGGGAGCAAACAGG
Molecule: ribosomal RNA, 429 nt
Filed under: bacterium
Lineage: Bacteria
Description: partial 16S ribosomal RNA
Rfam family: Bacterial small subunit ribosomal RNA
Source: RNAcentral